RNA transcript from Cygnus olor (mute swan), 2291 nucleotides. It is a transcript of the gene named magnesium transporter 1, with no coding region annotated. The record is from RefSeq and is a predicted model, not a curated record. The transcript has 8 exons. Lineage: Eukaryota; Metazoa; Chordata; Aves; Anseriformes; Anatidae.
UGUAGCCAAUAGGAAGCGGCCGGGCGGGGCCGAACCGCCGGUGGGAGCGAGGGGCAGCGAUGGCGGCACUGGCGGUGCUAGCGCUGCUGCUGCUGGCGGCCUGCGGAGGGCCGCGCGCGGCGGGGCAGAAGCGGAAGGAGAUGGUAUUAUCAGAAAAAGUGAACCAGCUGAUGGAGUGGGCUAGUAAAAGAUCUGUAAUUCGAAUGAACGGAGACAAGUUUCGACGCUUUGUGAAGGCACCACCCAGAAAUUACUCUGUGAUUGUGAUGUUCACUGCUCUUCAGCCUCACAGACAAUGUGUCGUGUGCAAGCAGGCUGAUGAGGAAUACCAGAUUCUGGCAAACUCCUGGCGAUACUCCAGUGCAUUUACCAAUAAGAUUUUUUUUGCUAUGGUUGAUUUUGAUGAAGGCUCAGAUGUGUUUCAGAUGCUAAACAUGAAUUCUGCUCCAACCUUCAUUAAUUUUCCUGCUAAAGGGAAGCCUAAACGGGGUGACACGUACGAACUUCAGGUGCGCGGCUUUGCAGCUGAGCAGCUUGCUCGUUGGGUGGCUGACAGGACUGAUGUCAAUAUUCGUGUGAUAAGGCCACCAAACUACGCUGGACCGUUGAUGUUAGGACUGCUGCUGGCUGUCAUUGGAGGCCUUGUGUAUUUGCGUGGAAGCAAUCUGGAUUUUCUGUACAACAAAACUGGCUGGGCAUUUGCUGCUUUGUGUUUUGUAUUAGCAAUGACGUCAGGCCAGAUGUGGAACCACAUUAGAGGGCCACCCUAUGCUCAUAAGAAUCCCCAUACAGGACAAGUGAGCUAUAUCCAUGGAAGCAGCCAAGCCCAAUUUGUUGCAGAAACGCACAUUGUUCUUCUGUUUAGUAUCCUUCUUCCUGAGAUGCAAGUUGGUGGUGACAAUUUUUCUGUUAGCUUAUGUUGCUGCCUCUUUUAUGAGAGCAUUUUGUCAAGGCUCGUAUCUGUCACCUAAUGCUGAGCAGAAGCUUGUAGAGCCUUUCUGUGUUGACAGCUAUGCCUUUCUAAUGACAGUGAUCUUUAAGCUGAAUAGAAAAACGUUUACUGCUUUCUCUCUAACUUCUGCCUUGCUCAGUGACCGAACUGGAUAACAUUAAAAAUGUGGAUUCUAGUGGCAUUGUAAGGUUCUUCAGGAUAGUCCCUGUUCUUUUCUACAUGUCUUGUCUCUUCAGUCUCACUAAACUCUUGCUUUAGUGUUGAAUUCUUUCCUUUGUUACUGGUGUUUCUUCUUUAAUUUCUUUGCUUACCUUCUCUGUUUUUAAUUUUAGCUCUUUUUAAUGCUAACAAGUCAGGAUUUUUCCAUGCUGGUAUUAAGCCAUCAAGAGAGGCAAGCAGAAUCUUGCUGGCUGAGUUUUUUUCAUUUCUCAUUUGUAUAAAAGUGUUUCUUUUGAGUGUCGGUAGUACUUUGAAAUCAUCUGUACCUGGAGUCAUCUCUGAAUCAAGCCCUUCUUCCUUGUCUUGUCACCUGUAUCAGCCUGUGCCUUAUUUUAUCUUUCUUUUAUUUAAUCCUGUUUUUUGGCCUUGUGGCUCCAGUGUCCCAAAUUGUCUACAUUUUAUGGUAUACAAGCAUACAUAUCUGCUGAUUUACUACAGACACAUCAACCGGCUUCUCACUUAAACUGUCUCAUUUCAGAACUUAUUUCAAAGUACCUGUCCUCUUCAGUGCUCUGCUGUGGUUAACGAGUUCCUUCUGUUGCAAGAGCAAGGUUCUUUAACUGAGUGACUUCAGCUGCCUUCUUCCUUUUCUCUUAGAUCUUAAUAUCUAAAUUUCAGCAAGCGAUGUGUUUUUGUUGUUUUUUCUUUUUAAUUCAUCAAUAUAAAGUAAGCAAUUGAUGUUUAAGUACACUGGUGUGUGCAGGGGGGAGUUUUCAACUCUGUAUUCUUUAUCAAAGAUUUUUUUUAUUGUUAGUACUGGAAAACUCCAUUUAGAAGGGGACUUAAGUUUCUUUUAAUUGAAGAAUUAGAAAAGACUGAAAUAUUUCUAUUUGAAAGUCACCACAUUAGAUCAAAUAUUGCAUGCAUUUUAUUUAUUCUAUUAGCUGAGUAAAGAUAGCAGAAGAUAUAUCACUAUCUUCUGGUUUGUACUUGAAACUUUCUGUCUAUUUUCUUAGAUGUUGUCAGUUAUUGAGUAACUUUCAACUUGCUUCUUUCCCCCUGACCUGUUGUUGUCCAGAAAGCCGUUAAUUUUUCCACCUUAAACAGUGUCCGUAGAUGGUGGUGUUACUUUAGGAAUGGUUCUCCUCCAUGAAGCUGCUACUUCUGACCUGGAUGUGGG